This is a small nuclear RNA of Grammomys surdaster, 103 nucleotides long. Lineage: Eukaryota; Metazoa; Chordata; Mammalia; Rodentia; Muridae. The record is from RefSeq and is a predicted model, not a curated record.
GUUUGUUUCAGUGGACCAUAUACUAAUAUUUGAUAGAUAUAGAGAUUAGCAUGGCCUCUGCACAAAUUUUACAAAUUUGAUAAAUAAGGAACCAUUAAUUUUU